CCUACGGGUGGCAGCAGUGAGGAAUAUUGGUCAAUGGACGAGAGUCUGAACCAGCCAAGUAGCGUGAAGGAUGACUGCCCUAUGGGUUGUAAACUUCUUUUAUCUGGGAAUAAAACGUUCCACGUGUGGGAUUUUGUAUGUACCAUAUGAAUAAGGAUCGGCUAACUCCGUGCCAGCAGCCGCGGUAAUACGGAGGAUCCGAGCGUUAUCCGGAUUUAUUGGGUUUAAAGGGAGCGUAGGCGGAUUGUUAAGUCAGUUGUGAAAGUUUGCGGCUCAACCGUAAAAUUGCAGUUGAAACUGGCAGUCUUGAGUACAGUAGAGGUGGGCGGAAUUCGUGGUGUAGCGGUGAAAUGCUUAGAUAUCGCGAAGAACUCCGAUUGCGAAGGCAGUUCACUGGACUGCAACUGACACUGAGGCUCGAAAGUGUGGGUAUCAAACAGGAUUAGAUACCCCAGUAGUC
This 460-nucleotide ribosomal RNA is filed under the name uncultured bacterium. RNAcentral's name for it is "partial 16S ribosomal RNA". It matches the Rfam family "Bacterial small subunit ribosomal RNA", at positions 338 to 795 of the family's 1533-position model. The record is from RNAcentral.